GGAUAACUUACCCUUAGGACUGGGAUAACUCUGGGAAACUGGGGAUAAUACUGGAUAUUAGGCUAUGCCUGGAAUGGUUUGCCUUUGAAAUGUUUUUUUUCGCCUAAGGAUAGGUCUGCGGCUGAUUAGGUCGUUGGUGGGGUAAUGGCCCACCAAGCCGAUGAUCGGUACGGGUUGUGAGAGCAAGGGCCCGGAGAUGGAACCUGAGACAAGGUUCCAGACCCUACGGGGUGCAGCAGGCGCGAAACCUCCGCAAUGUACGAAAGUGCGACGGGGGGAUCCCAAGUGUUAUGCUUUUUUGUAUGACUUUUCAUUAGUGUAAAAAGCUUUUAGAAUAAGAGCUGGGCAAGACCGGUGCCAGCCGCCGCGGUAACACCGGCAGCUCGAGUGGUAGCUGUUUUUAUUGGGCCUAAAGCGUUCGUAGCCGGUUUGAUAAGUCUUUGGUGAAAGCUUGUAGCUUAACUAUAAGAAUUGCUGGAGAUACUAUUAGACUUGAAGUCGGGAGAGGUUAGAGGUACUACCGGGGUAGGGGUGAAAUCCUAUAAUCCUGGGAGGACCACCUGUGGCGAAGGCGUCUAACUGGAACGAUCUUGACGGUGAGUAACGAAAGCCAGGGGCGCGAACCGGAUUAGAUACCCGGGUAGUCCUGGCCGUAAACGAUGUGGACUUGGUGUUGGAAUGGCUUUGAGUU
Molecule: ribosomal RNA, 691 nt
Filed under: uncultured archaeon
Lineage: Archaea
Description: bacterial SSU rRNA
Rfam family: Archaeal small subunit ribosomal RNA
Source: RNAcentral